This 497-nucleotide ribosomal RNA is filed under the name uncultured bacterium. Its description in RNAcentral is "partial 16S ribosomal RNA". It matches the Rfam family "Bacterial small subunit ribosomal RNA", at positions 28 to 507 of the family's 1533-position model. The record is from RNAcentral.
GAUGAACGCUGGCGGCGUGCCUAAUACAUGCAAGUCGAGCGAACAGACGAGGAGCUUGCUCCUCUGACGUUAGCGGCGGACGGGUGAGUAACACGUGGAUAACCUACCUAUAAGACUGGGAUAACUUCGGGAAACCGGAGCUAAUACCGGAUAAUAUAUUGAACCGCAUGGUUCAAUAGUGAAAGACGGUUUUGCUGUCACUUAUAGAUGGAUCCGCGCCGCAUUAGCUAGUUGGUAAGGUAACGGCUUACCAAGGCAACGAUGCGUAGCCGACCUGAGAGGGUGAUAGGCCACACGGGAGCUGAGACACGGUCCAGGCUCCUACGGGAGGCAGCAGUAGGGAAUCUUCCGCAAUGGGCGGAAGCCUGACGGAGCAACGCCGCGUGAGUGAUGAAGGUCUUCGGAUCGUAAAACUCUGUUAUUAGGGAAGAACAAAUGUGUAAGUAACUAUGCACGUCUUGACGGUACCUAAUCAGAAAGCCCCGGCUAACUACGUG